RNAcentral lists this ribosomal RNA (345 nucleotides) under uncultured soil bacterium. RNAcentral's name for it is "bacterial SSU rRNA". It matches the Rfam family "Bacterial small subunit ribosomal RNA", at positions 26 to 373 of the family's 1533-position model. The record is from RNAcentral.
AGAUUGAACGCUGGCGGCAUGCCUUACACAUGCAAGUCGAACGGUAACAGGUCUUCGGAUGCUGACGAGUGGCGAACGGGUGAGUAAUACAUCGGAACGUGCCCGAUCGUGGGGGAUAACGGAGCGAAAGCUUUGCUAAUACCGCAUACGAUCUACGGAUGAAAGCAGGGGACCCGCAAGGGCCUUGCGCGGACGGAGCGGCCGAUGGCAGAUUAGGUAGUUGGUGGAUAAAGCUUACCAAGCCGACGAUCUGUAGCUGGUCUGAGAGGACGACCAGCCACACUGGGACUGAGACACGGUCCAGACUCCGUACGGGAGCCAGCAGGUGGGGAAUUUUGGACAAGU